CGAAUAUUCAAAAAAGUGACGAAAAUUCAAGAGUCACUUUAUGUUUGUGUCAAUGAUACAAAACCACCUACUAUCUACAUGUGAAACACAUGAAUUGGAAUUCAAACACCGAAGUAUACUAAUUUGGUAAAGUCAUGUUAGUUUUGUCAUCUCUCUUCAUCUUUAGACGUAUCCUCAAUUACACAUAGAUUAUCAACAAUCAUGACUUAUUACUACUUAACUUGAAUCAAAUAUCAAAAUUAACAUAGUAGAAACUAGAAAGAUUGGCAAAAACAAUUUUUGAUGCCCAUACCAGGCAGCGAUGAGCUAAACUAAUUGUCUAAGAAAUGAAAAUUCUGUGUCUAUACUAAAAACUCAACUCUCGGCGCCUAAACAAGUCGUAACAUGAGAAACAUAUAUGCAUAAAGCAAUUACCAUUUUCAAGAAUCCAUUGUGAAUGAGAAAUCAAUCCAGUACUUCAAAGUCAUAUUGGGAUUAUUACUGCUAUUUUUUCGAUCAAUUUCAUCAAACAAUUGGUAAAAGCAAGCCUCAGCACCCCUUCUUUCUUCAAUGGAAUUCCCAUUCCUGACCUUAAAUGCAUCAGCAACCCCUUCAAGUACAUCUCGACAUAGUUUCUGCCUUCUGGUGGCCCUAGACUCAAAUUCGUUUGGCCACACGAUCUCUGUCAAGAUCAACGAAAUAUUCUCUUGGCCCAAAACAGCUAUAGCAGCUAUAACGGCAUAUCCACAUCAUGUCGAAUAAAUUCAGGUAGCGAAACCGGUGACGAUAUCAUCCCGAAAAUUAAAUGGGUGUUCUUGUAACAAGGCGUACCCAAUUCACUUUCCACACUAACAUUAUUUCAAAAUGAAAUUAUAAAUUUCCGUUCUCUGUUUCCUUCUUUGGCAACUACUUAUCUACCACUAUAACUACCAUGUUGACGGAAGAUUUUCACAGACGCUGGCUGCGGCAAGUGGGCCUUACUUCUGCCCAACAUUAUGAUUGGCAAGAAAUAAAAAAAUGACUUUACCUUUAGAAGAUGGUAUGCUGCAAAUCAUAUUUUGCUAGAUUGGAGGCAAAUUAUUAUUGGUGGCAGAGCCGCAACGGCCACUGUACUUCUCCCAUUAGAAGUUGAAGACGGACGUGAUUGGAUUUCAUAUUCAUUCUCCAUAGAUCAAGGUCGGUUUGUCCAAUAGAGAGAGAAGAGAUAAAUAUAGAGAGACCAAGGAGAGAGGGGGAAAAGUUG
Molecule: long non-coding RNA, 1222 nt
Filed under: Olea europaea subsp. europaea
Lineage: Eukaryota; Viridiplantae; Streptophyta; Magnoliopsida; Lamiales; Oleaceae
Source: RNAcentral